This 253-nucleotide ribosomal RNA is filed under the name uncultured bacterium. RNAcentral describes it as "partial 16S ribosomal RNA". It matches the Rfam family "Bacterial small subunit ribosomal RNA", at positions 524 to 776 of the family's 1533-position model. The record is from RNAcentral.
UACGUAGGAGGCAAGCGUUGUCCGGACUGACUGGGCGUAAAGCGCGCGCAGGCGGUGCGGGGCGUCGGUGCUGAAAUCGGGCCGCUUAACGGCCCGCGGCGUGCCGAUACGCCCGUACUGGAGGGUGGGCGAGGGUGGUGGAAUUGCCGGUGUAGUGGUGAAAUGCGUAGAGAUCGGCAGGAACACCCGUGGCGAAAGCGGCCACCUAGCCCAUACCUGACGCUGAUGCGCGACAGCGUGGGGAGCGAACUGG